Molecule: ribosomal RNA, 405 nt
Filed under: uncultured bacterium
Lineage: Bacteria
Description: bacterial SSU rRNA
Rfam family: Bacterial small subunit ribosomal RNA
Source: RNAcentral
GGGGAAUAUUGCACAAUGGGCGCAAGCCUGAUGCAGCAGCGCCGCGUGCGGGAUGACGGCCUUCGGGUUGUAAACCGCUUUCAGCAGGGACGAAGCGAAAGUGACGGUACCUGCAGAAGAAGCACCGGCUAACUACGUGCCAGCAGCCGCGGUGAUACGUAGGGUGCGAGCGUUGUCCGGAUUUAUUGGGCGUAAAGAGCUUGUAGGCGGUUUGUCGCGUCGGGAGUGAAAACUCAGGGCUUAACCCUGAGCCUGCUUUCGAUACGGGCAGACUUGAGGAAGGUAGGGGAGAAUGGAAUUCCUGGUGAAGCGGUGGAAUGCGUAGAUAUCAGGAGGAACACCAGUGGCGAAGGCGGUUCUCUGGACCUUUCCUGACGCUGAGAAGCGAAAGCGUGGGGAGCAAAC